Molecule: long non-coding RNA, 1124 nt
Organism: Sabethes cyaneus
Lineage: Eukaryota; Metazoa; Arthropoda; Insecta; Diptera; Culicidae
Exons: 3
Source: RefSeq, a predicted model, not a curated record
GAAUUUAAAUCAAACUAUAACACCAUAUGCGCUACCUGGUGGUAAAUUUAGUAACUCAAAAAAAAAGUAUAAACAUUGAAGAUACCACAUAGCCAUUGGUGCAAAUUAAUUUUACGGGCUCGAUAAAUCCAAAAAAUAAAACUAUUCUUGCUGAAAAUUACUGCAAUACGAAAAUGGCAGGAACGAAAGAGCCGGAAUUAAAAGCGCUGUUUAUUGCGCUUGUCGAAAUUGUGGGUAACAUUUAAAGAAGCCUUUAUGUGAGGGACUUCGAGUGUUCUCAUCUGGAUACAUUAUGUGCCUGGGAUACACAAAGCAGCUAGAAACAAUACAGAAAAAAUUAGCUUACGGCGUUUUGCAAAGCUCACAUACGUGCGAAAUUUCGCACGAAUUAAUUCUUAAAAUAGGAUCUAACUAUCGACAAUGAGUUUUGAACUGCUCCUGUAAAGCAGAAACAGCCGGAAGUAAACACAUUGUUGCUUGUAUACUUCAUCUUAGUCACUUCGGAUUUGCGGAGUACAUAACAUCUACCGACUCCCGGCAAGCAUGAUGAGUGAGUAGAACAGAAAAAACAAAUUUUAGAGGUGCCAAACCGUUUACUCAACUUUGUUGUGGGCGAAGCCUCGGUAUUUCGCUCUCUGUAAUCACUUUCACUUGAUGUGGACUUGCUCAAUUGGAAAGCGCGCCUACCAUAUGUAGGUGAAAAGCGGGUAUAAACAUCUGUUUGUUCUUAUGAAUAUAUAAGGCGUCGUGCAGGGAACGAAUCCUGCGUGGGACAUUUGGUUGCUUUUAGCACUGGAAGCCACUUCCGGUAGAUUGCAGUAUUUGGCGAAAGAAAUUUAUGAAGCAUGCUAUUUCCUGCAGGACAAUCCACAAAAGAGCAUAUGCCGUCACUUCGUGGAAUAUGAGAUGGUUUGCCAUAAUUGUGAUUCGAAACCGGGAUUGAUGUAUUAGAUAAAUAAAUCCUUAGUCUGUCCAACUAAAUCCAACACUUGGAACAGCGACAGUAUUGCGACGUUUCUGUAUAGUUUUUGUACAUAAUAUAGUUUAGUUAUUUAGAAUAAUCUCUCCCAUUUUGCAUAUUUACUAUUUAUUAAGUCAGUAACCAGAAGCCGACAUACUCUUAU